Molecule: long non-coding RNA, 2955 nt
Organism: Equus caballus (horse)
Lineage: Eukaryota; Metazoa; Chordata; Mammalia; Perissodactyla; Equidae
Source: Ensembl
GUGCCAAUGAGUUGGCCGUUGUGAGCAGAUUUUUUUCUAGAGAUUUUGGUGCUGACUGAGGCAUCUGCAUCAUCUUGGUUGCCCGAGUGUGGGAACCAUACCAUGUAGGGGAUUGACAGAAGAAACAAGGUAUAGUGGAUAGUGUCCUGUGUCAUCCAAGAAGAGACCACAGAGCCUGCAGAACUGAUACAGAGGAGAAGGCCAUGUGAAGACAGAGGCGGACUGGAGUGAUGCUGCCACAAGCCAAGGAACACCUGGAGUCACUAGUAGCUGGAAGAGGUCACACCCAAGGCACCACUGGGGUCUCUUCUGACCAGAUGAUGAAAUGGGAGAAAAAGGAUGUCAAUCCUUUGAAGAGUUCCAGCCGGCCUAAACUGCUCCACAAGAUGGCAUGGAGGAGACAAUGUCUACCAAAGCAACAAGUAAUGUGCUCAUGAGAGGGGUAUCAGCAUCGUUAAGAAGUUCAGUGGUGGCUGCCCUCUGUAAGCCAGAACUGACACUAGGAGAUGCCAUUACAGAACUGGAACUGCUGAGAGAAAAGCUGACAAUCAGAUUCUGAAACAGUAGAGGCAGGUGAUGAUGCAAACCAUCAGAAGCCAAGUGAUACAAUUAUUAUAAUCAGAAGAGUGGUCAGAGUGGCAGCCAGAGGGUUGCAAUCUGGCUCGAAGAGAUCUGAACCAUGAGAACAUUUUGUGGAAUGUAACAUGGGUCCACUAUAUAGAUGACAUCAUGGUAAUCUGGCUAGAUGAGCAAAAAGUGGCUGACACUUUGGAGGCCUUCUUAAGGCACAUGUAUAUGGGUAAGGGUAAGAAAGAAUCUCUGAUGAUUUGCAGGUCCACUGCAUCAAUGAAAUGUUUAGGGCUUCAGGGGUAUUGGGUAUUCCAGCAUGCCCACUUCCCCUACAUUCUAUAUUCCUUCCUCUACCCUCUAGCUGGGCAACUCAGGCUUUUCCCACUUCACUGGGUGCUGCCCACCAUCUUUUCUAGGCUUCUAGUUGCAAUCUUAGCAGCGAGUUUGCUCCAUGCCCUGGGGUCCUUGCCAAUGUCUUAAAUUCAAUGUCUUGAGAAAGUGCCCUGAAAUCAAUGAGUUUUUCAUUUUACAGGCUUGUAUUUUAGCCCCCCUUGAUUAGGCACCCUCAAAAUCCAAACCGAAGUGUACUCCCCUGAUUCUUCAUGGCACAUGCUAGUUAAUUCUUGCAACAGCUGUAGAGUUUUCCCUUCACUUAUCAGUCCCAGCACCUCCUCAGCUGGGUUAUGCUGAGAUUUAACUCUAGUUAUCAGCCUAGAAUCCAGGAAAGGAAGUGGCGGUAGCUCUGGGGUACAGUUUAGGGCAGCUGUUGUCUUGUGAAGGAGAGACCUCUGCAGCAUCUUCCAGCAUAGGGAAAAUGCUAGCUCUUCCUAGGGAAAGUGGGUGACCUCUACAAACCCAGAGGGUCUUGUAGAGUCAGCAUCUUCAGAGGCAUCCAUCCAGAUGUCCAGAUUCCAUGUUUUAAGGACCCAGGUUUGCCCCACUAGGGCCUUGACCUUUGCAUAACAAAAAUACCUUGGCUGAGCAUUCCAAUGGCUCUGAAGCUCUGUGACUCUGACAAUUUAGGUUUGCAGACUAUUGCACAUCUGUGUCUGCCCUUCCACCUCAGGAGAUCCAGGCCUCUUUGUAAGCUACCACAGACACCCUAUGACUCACAUUUACCCAGUAACUGCUUAAUAACAGCCCUCAGUCUUUCCUUCUCCUGCUGCAGGGCAUCAGUACAGCUUUACAGUAAGUAGUCAACUCUGCUGUCUUUGUAGGCUUUCUCCCUCUGUAUCUUUCGAAAGCCUGUAUCAUUGCACUUGCAGCACCACCCUUUACCAGGGCAUUUUUCAGGCUUCUUUUGGUGAAAUCUUUAUCAGUUGAGUCAGCAUCUUAUAACAGAUUCUAUCCAUGCCCCAUUGACCAAGGAUGGAGUCCUCUUUGCCCACUGGGCAGUGGGUGAGCCCAUUCCAAAUCCCCCUAUUAUACUUUUUCUCAGAUCAUUUCUAAUAUUGCAUGAGAAGCAGAUGAUAAGACAGACAGGAUUAAACAUGCAAGAAAUAUACUAGAGAAAAUGCCUAUCAGAGAAAAUGGAGGGGGAUCUGGGUAAGGCUGAGAGAGUUGUCAGGUUGCAAUGCAUGUCUAAGCUCCUGUGGCAGGAAGGAAGGUUGCAUGGAAGCUUCUCAGACUGAGUGCAAUUCUAAGGAAAGUUUGCGAAGACCAUCGCAGAGCCCUUGAGCCACUUUACUUCCCUGCUUGUCCUGCUGAAGUACCCAGUGUGAGGAAGACUAAGGGUUAUUUGUCCCAGAUAGUGGUGACAAGACGACAGCUCCACUAGUGACUUGGCUUUGGGAGAAUUGCAAUUCCAUGCCCAUGUAUUUCGAAAGCAAAUUAACCUGGUUAUGGAAUUCAUCAAACAGUGGGGGUUGCUUUUGUUAAUCACCAUCUGCCAUUUCUUUAAAUGUAGUGGCUUCUUUGGGAUUUAAUCAGCAAAUAACAAAAUGUGAUAAAAAUCACAGGUUAUUGUUUUAUAUUAUGUAACUGAGACAUUAGAGUGAUUCCAGAUAAACUAAAGUUGAGCUGCAUUCUUCUUUUGGAUGAACACUAUUAAUCAAGUAUAUUUUAUAAUUAUUGUUUAUUUAAUCAUUAAGCCUUGAGGGUAAGUUAAAGAAGAUUUUAAUUUUCUGGGAAAUGUAUACCAAAGCAUGAAGUCAGGAAAACUGCUAUAAAAGUCAAAGGAUAUCUAACAUGAUGGUGCUACCACAGCCGGCUAGUUCAUAAAUAAUAUUUGUAUAAUUUUAUAGGCUGGUUGCCAAUAUUUUUGUCAGUUAUUCCUGCUAAGGAAAUCUCUCCUUCCAAGAUAUUAAAGUUAGGCCUUACUGCAGAAAAUCCAUAAAUUUAUAAGAUUUUAAUAAAAACUCAUUAAUCAAAUUGUAUAGACAUGGG